UGGUAUUGACAGAGAAAUAGCCUUCUGUACCAAAAAAUCAACAUCCCGCCAACAUUUCUUCCAGUUUAAAAAAUACUAUUCUAAAGUUGCAGCUGGUAUAUAGUAAGAAUCUAGUAGAUAAUAAAAUAAAACCAUGAACCAUGUGUAGCCAUAUGCUUAUAAAAUGUUAUGGAUUUCAGUUUUCUGACAUAACAUCGUGUAUUUGGUUUUGUUUGUUUGUUUGUUUUGUUUUCUUGGGGGGGGUUCUGUUGCUGUUUUUCAGAUCUCUGAAAUAGCACUGGUUUCAAAUUUUAUAUCUUACAAAUUACAAUGUUAGUCUCAAAAAUAGUUUUUAACAUGUAAACUAUUUUUAUUUUCUGCAAAUAAUUUAAAUUACUUCAGUACCCCACAUUAACAUUUCUAAGCUGCUAAUUCGACAAAGUUAGAUGUCUGAAAAGUGUAGCAUACAACUCAAUAAUGCUGCAGCAUUAGAGAUGUCCACGUUGUUCAUGAAGCACCAUGACCAACAGCUUCUUACAGAAGGAAGACUUCAUUUGGGCUUCUGGUCCAGAAGGAUGAGAUUCCAACAUGGCAGGAGGAAUGGCAACAAAUGGUGGGAAUGACAGUAGGAACAAGAAGCUGACAGAUGAUACCUUCAGCUGUAAACACAGAGCAAAGCACAAACAGGAAGCAGUGUGAUCAUAUGAUCUCUCAAGACCACUUCCAAUGACAAACGUCUUCCAGCAAGUCCACAGUUUUUAACCCUCCUAACUGAGGACUACCUACUAGAGAACACGUGUUUAAGUGUUUAUAUCUAAGGAAGAUAUUUCUCUUUCAAUUCACCACAGAUACUAUGGCCAUUUUAAUAUUUUUGUCCUCUACACACAAGUCACAUUUAAUUGCCAUUUCAAAUAUCAUUGAGACACAAAUACUUUAGUAGCCUGAGAUUUCACUGGUACUAAUUGUGUUGGUAUUGAUUCUCCUAAAGCAGAUCUAUCUAUCUAUCUAUCUAUCUAUCUAUCUAUCUAUCUAUCUAUCUAUCUAUCUAUCUAUCUCUUACAUGUUACAGUAGUAAUUUAGUAGUUUAUCACAAAUUCAGGUGAAACCUAUUGUUCUUUGUACAUACCAAAUUUCUACCCUUUUUUUCUGCAUUAUGCUAGUAGGGUAAAGUUGCUUCUUUUGAAUGCCUAGUUUAGUUCCCCAUAGUCUAAAUGGUUCAAUGACAAAGCUUAACAUUGAUAGUAAUGAUAGUAUCUUAGAAUGUCAGACACCUCUUAUUUCCCAGAAGCUUUUUUCUGAUGCUCUUAUUUUCUGUCAGCCAGCAUGUAAGAUACCUUUACGUUGUGGGCAGAUGUAACUAGCCACCAGAGAGGAACCUAGCUGUAAUACUGUGUAUUUAUAAAAGAUAGCUCUGUGUUAGGAGAGUCAAUAACAACACAGAUAAUACAAGUGAAGCUUCCAGGCUAUUGGAGUAUUUAUGCUGCAAUGAUAUUUUGAAAUAAUUAUAGACAUGGAAAAUGGCAGAAGUCAGUUAGUUCCUUACAGUAUGUAGGUACAGAAGAUCAAAGUCAGACCACCAAGUUUAGUGGCAAGUAUUGUAUGUCUGCACAUGUUCUGCUGCAUGAACAUGCACAUGAGCACAUGUUCAAACAUAUAUACAAAUAAAUACCAUAAAAUAUUAAAGUAAUAUUUUAAAAUUCUCAUAGAUCCUUUGCCCUACUUCUAACUUAAUAAUAUAUGUAAAUAUAGUAGACAAAGCCAAGACUAUUUCACUGAUACAGUACUGCUAAUUAAGUAACUGCUUUAUUUGAAGUUCCACAAUUUUAAAUUCCAGGAUUCAUCCCCAGAAUAUCACCAUUUAUGCUUUCUAUGACUUUUUACUCCUCAUCACUAAAUGACUAUUCCUGAGUCUUUCUGUGCCUGUUUAAAACCUUUGAAUAUUUGGAAACUGUUGUUUAAUUAUUUUGUAGAAUAUCAUUAGCUGCCUGACAUUUCUCAUGCUCAGGUUGUAGUAAAGAAUUAUGAGGAUAUGACAAAAGAAUAAUGUGUCCCAUCCAGUAAAAUAACACAGCACGAAGCAAUGUCAUCACUGUCAAUUGUGAGCUUGACAAUUAGGUUAAGAAGGUUGGAUGAUUUCACCACUGCAACCAUACCCUCCACUCUGAUGCCAACUUCAUACCAAGGCAUAUGUUGUCCUUCUUAAUUUGUUAAAUGUUGUUCAAACACUGGACUCAUUUAUACCCAUUUUCCAUACCAAAAGUUAUAAUAUUGCCAUCUAGCUGUUAGCCUGUUCUUCUAUUUGAUAAGAACUAGUAUACAGACAUUCUUGCAUAAAAAAUCAUUUUAUAAGUAGAAAUGAUCACCCAUGGCAUUUUAAAUAAGAUCAUUAAUAGAAUAGUUAAAAAGUAAAUUGGCAGUUUGCUCAUUUCAUCCCCAGAGCUACAGAGACAUGUUAUGUAAGUGGUAGUCUAGCCCUGACACCUAGCUUUCUCAGAACCUGUAUCAUUUGCCAAUUUAGCCUAAGUCUUCUGAAAACACACACACACACACACACAUACACACACACACACACACACACACACACACGUAUUUAUAACUUACUGCCCAUUUGUGGUUAACUAAAUUAACUAGAUAGAUAACCACCCACUGAUAAGAGCAGUACAUAGUUCUUUCAAAACUGUCACAUGUAUAAUUUCUUCUGUUGCUAUGAGGUUGAAACAUGCUAGCCCUCAGCAUGCCAAUCAUUUUGAAUCUGAAUGCUGUAAUUCCAUCUCAUUGGUUGGUCUCUGUAACUAAUGAGGAAGUCUUCCCUCCCAAUGCAAAGAAAGGCAGCCUUUACAGGGACUUUUAUAGGAUCCUUGCUCUCUCUGUCUCUUUGAAUGUCACAGAUGUCUGCCCUGAUGUAACACACAGAAGUGAAAUUGGCCAUUUACAGGGCCAGAAGGAAGUAGCAGGAGUUAUGUUGAAGAAAUAGGUGGCUUCCAUUUACUUCUGAUCUCCUGGCCUCUUUGACAAAUAGAAGUCAUAAUAUACCUCAAGUUACUGUGAUUGUUAGGUAAUCUGUAUAACCCUUUGGGUAGCAACUGCUACAUGAUAUUUACUCAAGAAAGGAAAACACAGUUGGUGAUUUUUAUUUCUCCCUCUAAUUCCUAUACAAAAUUCAGAUUUGGGUGUUUAAAAAAAAAAGAUAAGGAACUGGAGGCAGCAGCUUAUUUAAAUAAUUCUUUUUUUUAUUUCUAAAAAGCCCCUCAAAAACCAUUUUGAACUAAAUAAAAUUCUAUUAAAAGUUGUUCAGAUGAUAAGGCAGUGUGGCAACAUCUGUAUACAGUCAUUGAUUAGGGGACAAUAAAACAGAAGUUUGUUUUAUGAAAAAUUAGUUUGCUGAAGAAAGUGUUCAAGAAAAUAAGCUGGAAUAUGAAUUAGAUGUAAACUCAAUGAGAGCAGAAACUGGUCAAAUUCAUUAAAGUCUCCAGUGCCCAAAGAGAUAUAUAGGUCUGACAUUUUCUCAUAUGCAUACAAUGUAUUUAUAUCAUAUUCACCUGCCUCCCACAUUAUACUCUCUUGAGUUUUUUCAACACACAGUAAUCACUUUUCUCCUCCAAACUAUUUAGCCCUUCCAUGUUCCCAUUGCUGUUUGCCUUUUGUGACCCGAUGCGUUUCAUUAGUCUGUGUAUGGGAACAUGAGUGAGAGUUUCUUUAUAGACACACCUCAUAACUUGCUACAGUCUUAAAGACAAGGUCUCUCUCCCUUCAUCAUCUAUUAACUGUAAAUAUCCUCAGGAAUUAAUGGGGCCCAUAUGCUCCUUUCAAUUCCAUGGCAAGAUGUUGACAGACCCAAUAUUGUGCAGACUUUCUAUCCAAGUUGUUAGAUGGCUGCUUCAAAAUAUCGUUGGUUCUAUAAUAGUUCCACAGAAUCCAAGCAUAUGAUUUUGUAUUAUUUUUGCUCAUUUUGAAUCAUGGUUGUUGUAUAUUUGUUUAGGUGUCUCAAGCAAGGAGUUGGGGGAGAUAAUAGUAUAUCCUAAAAUCCUACUCACUUUCUUAUGAGAUGCUCCAAGUAUGCCAUAAGUAAAACAAACUUCUUAAGAUUGUAUUGCUAUGUCUUCUAACCCCAACAGUUAUUAGUUAGCUGGAGUUCUUCCUCUAAACUUGAGACCCCACAUAAUUUCCAUUCCAUGUUAACACAUCCAUUGACAUUGACAUUUUUCUAGUCUUGUCUAGGUAGCCAUUUUUAGGAAAGACUCUUUCUCAGCAUACUACCUCUUUAUCUGCCUCUUAACAGGCAUUGCUCUCCCUCUUUUAUGAUGAUCCCUGAGCCAUAGACUUAGUAGCUGUCCUGUAGACUGGACUGAUCCCUGCAAUGUGUCCAGUUGUGAUUUUCUUUGAUAAAAUGAGAGGCUUCUUUGAUGAUGGGUGGUACCUACACUUACCUGUGUGUGUGAGGGUAAGAUUUAGAAUGCAGGAAAGAAUUAUGUUCAUCUAGCAAAAUGACAAUAAUAGUUUUUUUUAUGAUGGUGAUACAACCGUGUGUGCAAUAUCUCAUUAGUUUCCCUUUAAUCUUCUAAAAAAUUGUGGUAAUAUCUCCAUUUUAAAGAUGAAAAAGUAGAGCUAUAAAACAGCUUGAAAUCAUAAGAAUCAAGAGUCAAUAUUGUGUUUAUCACCAAAGACCAUACAUUUUCUUAAUUAGAAUCUAUGCCCUAAUGUUUUAGCUCUACUCUAUUUAAAAUAGUGUUUGAUGAUUUGUUUCAUGGCAAAAUAAAAUGAUCUCCAUGGGUCAGAUUCUUUCUUGUUCCUUGCUGGAGCUUGCUGCUAGAAUUCAAUAAAUAAUUUGUAAGAUUUUAUUUAGCCCCUUUAUUGGUAUAGACUAUUGUACAAAUCUGUGGGGAUUUUUUGUUUUGUUAGAAAUCUUCUGGUUUUGAUGAAGUAGAUACAGACUCUGUGUUAAGCUCCCAGAUAUCUGAUUUGGCUGUCCGAGCAAUUGGCAAGCUGUGCAUAAUGAUAAAUAUACUAGCAAGGCUUACUUUCCCACUAAGUACAUGCAAGUAAAAGCCCUGGAAGUUGCAUGGCUCUUGCCUCUUUAAAUCUGACACCUAAUGUAUUAGGUAUUAGAGUGUUUUGUGCUUACCUUUAGCUCUUCUUUAGUUUAGGUGAUUAAAAAAUGCCUGUUGCUGUCUGUAUUGCAACAUGCUUCAUUAACAAUGAUUUAUUUGAGAGUUUAGCAGAAUUGGCACUGUGCAGCACACCAGUGGGCAGGAAGAAAACAAACGUGAGAUGGUUGCUAAGAAAUGUAAUUUCCUCUGUUUCUGCUAAAAGCCCAAGGAUCUCCAGAGCCUGCUUUCCUAUACCCACAAAGCCAGGAAAAGUAUGUAGCUUCUGGCCCUUGCCAUUGGUCCGCAGUCACUGACUCUCUCUUGUAAUGCUCAGUCGGGAGGGAGUGCAAAGAUUUCCCUGCCCAUAUUCGUGCAACAAGUUUUUUUUUUUCCCCACUCAAAACCAAGCUCAGCUUUUUCUAGAAGAAUCCAAUUAUAAAGACUUUUUUCUAUCGUAUUCUUUUCAACAACUCUGCAUCUUUACUGUCAUUUUACC
This 5562-nucleotide long non-coding RNA is filed under the name Mus musculus (house mouse). RNAcentral's name for it is "long non-coding RNA chr6:106165098-106170660". Lineage: Eukaryota; Metazoa; Chordata; Mammalia; Rodentia; Muridae. The record is from RNAcentral.